This 45-nucleotide non-coding RNA is filed under the name Echinostoma caproni. Lineage: Eukaryota; Metazoa; Platyhelminthes; Trematoda; Plagiorchiida; Echinostomatidae. The record is from RNAcentral.
CCACUGCUGACGAGUCCAAAACAGGACGAAACAGCUUUCCAGUGC